RNAcentral lists this ribosomal RNA (894 nucleotides) under Phellinus sp. RNAcentral describes it as "partial large subunit ribosomal RNA". It matches the Rfam family "Eukaryotic large subunit ribosomal RNA", at positions 66 to 915 of the family's 3401-position model. The record is from RNAcentral. Lineage: Eukaryota; Fungi; Basidiomycota; Agaricomycetes; Hymenochaetales; Hymenochaetaceae.
UAACUAGGAUUCCCCUAGUAACUGCGAGUGAAGCGGGAAGAGCUCAAAUUUGAAAUCUGGCGGUCUGUGGGCCGUCCGAGUUGUAAUCUGGAGAAGUGUUUUCCGCGUUGGACCGUGUACAAGUCUCCUGGAAGGGAGCGUCGGAGAGGGUGAGAAUCCCGUGUCUGGCACGGACCGCCAAUGCUUUGCGAUACGCUCUCGAAGAGUCGAGUUGUUUGGGAAUGCAGCUCAAAAGGGGUGGUAAAUUCCAUCUAAAGCUAAAUAUUGGCGAGAGACCGAUAGCGAACAAGUACCGUGAGGGAAAGAUGAAAAGCACUUUGAAAAGAGAGUUAAAGAGUAUGUGAAAUUGUUGAAAGGGAAACGUUUGAAGUCAGUCGCGUCCGUCAGAACUCAGCCUGGUUGUUUUUCUCGGCCUGGUGUACUUUCUGUCGGACGGGUCAACGUCGGUUUCGAGCGGUGGAGAAAGGCGAGGGGAAGGUGGCGCCGCUUGGGUGGCGUGUUAUAGCCCCUCGUCGUAUGCAUCGGUUGGGACCGAGGAAGUUGCAGCACGCCCUUGUGGGCCGGGGGUUUGAACCCUACGUUUAUCGUGCUUAGGAUGUUGGCAUAAUGGCUUUAAGCGACCCGUCUUGAAACACGGACCAAGGAGUCUAACAUGCUUGCGAGUGUUCGGGUGGAAAACCCUUGCGCGUAAUGAAAGUGAAAGUUGGGAGCCCCGUUCGUCAGCGAAGGGGGUGCACCGACGCCCGGCCCUGAAGUCGUCUGAAGGUGCUGCGGUAGAGCAGGUAUGCUGGGACCCGAAAGAUGGUGAACUAUGCCUGAAUAGGGUGAAGCCAGAGGAAACUCUGGUGGAGGCUCGUAGCGAUUCUGACGUGCAAAUCGAUCGUCAAAUUUGGG